This 354-nucleotide ribosomal RNA is filed under the name marine sediment bacterium BB0608_AND_5.1_2G0. RNAcentral describes it as "bacterial SSU rRNA". It matches the Rfam family "Bacterial small subunit ribosomal RNA", at positions 68 to 411 of the family's 1533-position model. The record is from RNAcentral.
GGACCGACGGGAGCUUGCUCCCUUAGGUCAGCGGCGGACGGGUGAGUAACACGUGGGUAACCUGCCUGUAAGACUGGGAUAACUCCGGGAAACCGGGGCUAAUACCGGAUGCUUGAUUGAACCGCAUGGUUCAAUUAUAAAAGGUGGCUUUUAGCUACCACUUACAGAUGGACCCGCGGCGCAUUAGCUAGUUGGUGAGGUAACGGCUCACCAAGGCAACGAUGCGUAGCCGACCUGAGAGGGUGAUCGGCCACACUGGGACUGAGACACGGCCCAGACUCCUACGGGAGGCAGCAGUAGGGAAUCUUCCGCAAUGGACGAAAGUCUGACGGAGCAACGCCGCGUGAGUGAUGA